RNAcentral lists this ribosomal RNA (433 nucleotides) under uncultured bacterium. RNAcentral describes it as "partial 16S ribosomal RNA". It matches the Rfam family "Bacterial small subunit ribosomal RNA", at positions 29 to 507 of the family's 1533-position model. The record is from RNAcentral.
AACGAACGCUGGCGGCAUGCCUAACACAUGCAAGUCGAACGAUACCUUCGGGCCUGGUGGCGCACGAGUGCGUAACUCGUUGUAACCUCCCCUUAGUUUCGCACUAACUCCCCUUAAGCGGUUCUCAUACCGCAUAAUGUCUUCUGACCAAUGAUUUAUCGCCUUUGGAUGGGCCCUCGUUCGAUUAGCUCUUUGGUAGUUUAAUAGCCUACCAAGGCGACGAUCCAUAACUGGUCGGAGAGGAUGAACAGCCACACUGGGAGUGAGACACGGCCAAGACUCCUACGGGAGGUAGCAGCGGGGUGUAACGGACAAAGGGCGAGAGCCUGAACCAACAAAGGUGCGUGAGCGAUGAAGGCCGAAGGGUUGAAAAGAAAUUUUAACCGGGAUGAUAAUGAAGGCACCGGGCAAAUAAGCUCCGGAUAAAUAAGUG